GCCUCGGUGGUGGAAUUGGUAGACGCAGCGGACUCAAAAUCCGCCGCCGCAAGGCGUGCCGGUUCGAUUCCGGCCCGGGGCACCA
RNAcentral lists this transfer RNA (85 nucleotides) under Duganella radicis. RNAcentral describes it as "tRNA-Leu". It matches the Rfam family "tRNA". From Rfam's summary of the family: Transfer RNA (tRNA) molecules are approximately 80 nucleotides in length. Their secondary structure includes four short double-helical elements and three loops (D, anti-codon, and T loops). Further hydrogen bonds mediate the characteristic L-shaped molecular structure. tRNAs have two regions of fundamental functional importance: the anti-codon, which is responsible for specific mRNA codon recognition, and the 3' end, to which the tRNAs corresponding amino acid is attached (by aminoacyl-tRNA synthetases). tRNAs cope with the degeneracy of the genetic code in two manners: having more than one tRNA (with a specific anti-codon) for a particular amino acid; and 'wobble' base-pairing, i.e. permitting non-standard base-pairing at the 3rd anti-codon position. RNAcentral also lists the same sequence under 24 other names. Lineage: Bacteria; Pseudomonadati; Pseudomonadota; Betaproteobacteria; Burkholderiales; Oxalobacteraceae. The record is from RNAcentral.